UCUAUAUAACUACAACCACCACACCCCCAAUUCUCAUUCAUCUCAGCUCUCAGCGCCGCCGUCCAAUAAACACACACACACACACAAUCAAACACAGAUUGAAGAAUCAAUCAAUCUGCAUCUCUCUAUGAAUUCCUUCUAUUCAAUUAAUUUCGAUUUUUUUUUAAUAAAAAAACCCUAGCUUCUAUCCCCACAGCUCAGAUCUACUCAUCUCGCCUUCUUCAAACAGCACACACAAACACGCACUCCAGUGUGAAGAGUUUGCUUCUGCAGAAAUCCAUUCCUUUGAUUUAAUUUCCGAUUUUUUUGAUUUCGAUUCAGAUUUUCUGUCUGUAUAUAUAUGUGUAAGUAUAUAUAUGAGCAAUGACGACUACUGGUAAUUGGUCUCGUUCGUCGUAUCGGCAUUCCAAUGCCUUGCCGACUAUCCUGUUAUAUCACCACCCAUAAACUGAGCUCAUAGGCCAAUGAUUAUAAAAAAAUUAGACAAGCAUAUGUCUGAAUUACCAUAUGUGGAUCAACCUAAUCUUCUCUAUGAGGCCUCUGUUUUAGAUCUUGUGUUUUUUUUUAAUUCUGUAUUAAUUAAUUAUUAAAUAUAUCUAUUUUUUUUCUGGAAUUUUUUGCUAGCCAAUGAUUAUAAAAAAUUAGACAAGCAUAUGUCUGAAUGAAUUACCAUAUGUGGAUCAACCUAAUCUUCUCUAUGAGGCUUCUGUUUUAGAUCUUGUGUUUUUUUAAUUCUGUAUAAAUUAAUUAUUUAUUUAAUAUUUAAUUUAAUUUUUUUAUUUGUUGAAGAUCUUGUCUGUGAUGAACAAAAGCAUAGUUCAUAUGAAUCACUAGUGAUUAUAAAACUACCUAGUCUUUCGCUCCUAUCUGAUGA
This is a long non-coding RNA of Erythranthe guttata (spotted monkey flower), 874 nucleotides long. RefSeq lists it as uncharacterized. The record is from RefSeq and is a predicted model, not a curated record. Lineage: Eukaryota; Viridiplantae; Streptophyta; Magnoliopsida; Lamiales; Phrymaceae.